GUCCUGGCGGGAGCUACCUGGACGAGACAGCCUUGCAGAUGAUAGCUGUGUUGUGUGAUCAACCACAUGCAAGAUGUUGAUAGACUUGACGCAGAAGGUGACAAGUAGUGCACCGAGGAGAAUGCUUUGUUAGGCAUGGUAUUGUGAAGUCCUUUUGGGCCAUCAACGCUGGCUUCACUGUAUGGGUUUCUUCAACUUUCUGAGCUACAGGACCUGUGUACUUCUGAGGGGCCCUUAAUUACAUCACCAGUAAAACUGAACUACAUGUAAAUUAAUACAACCCACACCAUCUGGACUGGGACUGGCACCCUGACUACCA
RNAcentral lists this long non-coding RNA (319 nucleotides) under Acanthaster planci (crown-of-thorns starfish). RNAcentral describes it as "uncharacterized LOC110978592, transcript variant X1". The record is from RNAcentral. Lineage: Eukaryota; Metazoa; Echinodermata; Asteroidea; Valvatida; Acanthasteridae.